GACUCGUUCUCCUUACGGUGGUUGUUUCUCGGGCUUUUUGAGAACGACACCAGACAAGCUUUACCGUAGAAGGAUAAGGGAAGUUUCAGACACAUUGGGACAGGAUUUCCACUGAACAAUGUUGAUAUUUAAGACUAUAUGAACAGCCUCCAAACUUGGUUACAAUGUGGAGAUUCAGAACAUAUUUACUCGACAGUGUUCUCCGUUAAGUAAAAAGGAUUAAACUGCUUGGUCCAGGGUGCUAGCCAACGGUUUUUCUUUUUUUUUUUUUUUUUUUGUGGACUGGAAUUAAAUAUUUCAUUGAUGACUGAAAAAGGCUUUUUUUAAAGACUGGAGGACAGUUUUUGUUUUGUUUUUUUGUUUGUGUAUUGGAGAUCAAUAACUAAUAAGCUCCAUCAGCUCUACCGCCUCCUGCUGACUGCAUGGCUGAAGUUCACCUUUGGCUUGAAGUGGUUACGGCGCCGCAAGACCAUUAGUUUGAUCUUUGCUGUUCCAGAUCUUCAGAUGGAGAUAGAGGCUCUCCACUGCUUCGUCUUCGUCUCCAUCUCCUGUCCUCCGCCUUCAGAGGAAGAUCCCAAGGAUGGAGAUUCCCAACAGCACAUGUAAUCAUGACUGCAUGUCAAUGACGAAGAACCCAGGAGGACUGAUGGACUCAUGGCACCAUAUUCGGACUACUAAGAGGAACCUGUUUCCUCGCUAGGAGGAGGGAGUGAACUGUGAAUGCUGGAACAGCUGAACUAUGAGAUCUCGAACCUGCACAGAAUAGUUCUGCUCGAGUGCAGCCAGAGUGAACUUUACAAACACGACACACACAUGAUUAAUAACUGAAAUACACUCA
Long non-coding RNA from Rhinichthys klamathensis goyatoka, 838 nucleotides. RefSeq lists it as uncharacterized. The record is from RefSeq and is a predicted model, not a curated record. The transcript is spliced from 2 exons. Lineage: Eukaryota; Metazoa; Chordata; Actinopteri; Cypriniformes; Leuciscidae.